AGGCGCUUUGCGCUCUUUGCGCCUCACGCGGCGUCGCGAGCGGGUUGGCCACCAGGGACCCCGAAGAGCUCUAAGAAGAGAGGUCUUGGUAGCAGAACACGAACAAUGAAACCUCAGCAGGCACACAAGUCUACUAACAAAAGAAAUUUUAAAAAAUAGAAAUAAAAUCUGAUUGGUAGUGGGUCAUAACCAUAGUUGGAAUCCAGAAGAUGGUGCCAAAUGUGACUUAUCCCGUUGGAUUGUAUAGCAGUGUAUCACAUGGAGUCAGCCUCAGCUCUGCCAUCCCUGGACUGGUCCUUUUCCAAGAGAACACAGAAGAGGAGAGAAUGGCAGCUGUGCCGCUAACAGCCAGAUGGCAGAAGUUACUCAAGUUUAAGGAUGUGGCUGUGAAGUUCUCAAAGGAUGAGUGGAAGCAGCUGAUUCCUAUUCAAAGAGCCCUUUACAGGGAGGUGAUGCUGGAGAACUAUCAGGAUUUUGUUUCUUUGGGGGACACAGGUUCGAUCCCUGGUCCGGGAAGAUCCCACAUGCCCCGGAGCAACUAAGCCCGCGUGCCACAGCUACUGAAGCCCGCACACCUCGAGCCCGUGCUCUGCAAUAAGAGAAGCCACCGCAAUGAGAAGCCCGCGCACCGCAACGAAGAGCAGCCCCCGCUCACCGCAACUAGAGAAAGCCCACGUGCAGCAAUGAAGACCAAUGCAGCCAAAAAAAAAAAAGAAAUUGAAAUACAGUCAUAAAGAACAACAAUAAUUUAAAAAAAAGAACAACAAUAAAGGAAAGGACUUCUAGCCCCUAAACCUGAUGUGAUUUUCCAGUUGAAGAGAGGUGAAGAGCCGUGGAAACUUGAUUUUCAGGAAGCGGAAGAGAAAGAAGUCCCAGGAGGUACUUCUCUAGACCAGAAGGCUAGACUUGAGAGCCAGGACUCAACUCAAAGGCAGGAUGUUUCUAAAAAAAUAAAGUCAUGAGAGACAUUAAUGGAAAAACUCAGAGAAGAUGGUCCUCUGGGCCCUGUACUUGGCCCAGAAAACCCUGUGGGCACGAUGAAGGAAAAUCCUUCAGGGGAGACUUUGAAGAAAUCCUCCCCCAAGGAAAAGGACUCCAGGCAAGGAUCCACUCCUGCUAAGAAAACCAACAGUAAAGGGAGAAGCUUUGCAGCAUAUGUAGGAAGACCUUAUUCAACCACUUGUCCCGCACUUGCAAUCAGAGGUCUCACACUGGAGAGAAGCCCUAUGAUUGUAAAGAGUGCGGGAAAGCCUUCAGCUAUCUGAGUAGUCUUAGAAACAUCUGAUGUCUCACUCUGGGAAGAACCCCUUUGAAUGCAGCAAAUGUGGGAAAACUUUCUAUGACCGAUUAACCCUCACUGAACAUCGGCGAACUCACACGGGAGAGAAGCCCUUUAAAUGUAACAAGUUUGGCAAGGCUUUUUUUGUCCAAUCCUCUUUUACACGACAUCAGAGAACCCAUAUUGGAGAAAGGCCUUAUGAGCGUACAGAAUGUGGGACAUCCUUUAGCCAGAAGAGCAUCCUUGCCCGCCACCAGCUCACUCACAGCGGAGAGCAGCCCUGUGGGUGCAAGGGGUGCGACAAAGCUCUGACCGCUCCUCGCUCCUCCGCCACAGGAGAGCCCACACUGGAGGGACUCCUUUUGGAUGUUGUGAGUGUGAAAAAAUUUUCUUUGACCACUCAUCCCUUAAUCAGCAUCAGAAUAUUCAUAAUAGAGACAAGCCCUAUAAAUGCACUGAAUGUGGGAAAGCCUUUCUCCAGAAAAGACGACUCAUUCAACAUCAGAGGGUGCACACUGGGGAGAAGCCCUACGAAUGCGGUGUGUGUGGGAAAGUGUUCAGUUGCAAAUCAUCUAUCAUCCAGCAUUAGCGACGUUAUACCAAACAGGCUUCAGAAUAUCAUAGAGGUGCUUCUGCCAGACAUGGGACCCCCGUAGAGACUUAGGAUGCUCUUAUUCAAAAUAACAAAGAUUUAUGUCUGAGCACUUCUGACUACUGCUUAUUCUCAUGCCUCCAUUUGGUACCACGGUCUCAAUAAAUAGCCUCAAUGGACUGUGCCAUAGACUUCCCCUAGGAUGCUUCAAAUUUAAGAUCAUACUCUGAGGAUCCCCAAAUUGGUCAUAACCUCUCCAAUCAAUAUGCUCUGUAAGUGUCUGAAGGGGACUCUAAGAUAGGCAUCAUAUAUUUUAUUCAUUCAUGCAUGCAUUUAUUUUUUCUAGACUGACUACUCCAUGAGACAGGAACUAUUUCAUAUCUGUGCACUGCUGUGUCCCCAGUGUGGUGCCUGACACUUACUACAUAUUUCCCGAAUGAAUGAAUACCUGUCUAGUCGUGAAAACUUGAGUCCCAAAUCCAAUGCACUUUCUAGAACCAGAAACUUCAGUAAGAAAAUAAACAUCAAGCUAAUAUAUUUAGCAAUGCAAAUACCUUCACUGUAGUUGUGCUAUUAGCUCUUAAUCCAUUCUUCUUGGAGCUUCUUGGAGCUCUGAUUUGGUUUAUAUGCUCUUGUUCUUCACUUUAGCUCCUCAGGACCUUCAGUUUCCCUGGAGUUUGCCUCUUUUGCCCUCUUACCUGACCUCUGGGCUCUGGUAGAGUAACCCAUCACCCAACUAUUCUUGUUUCUACCCAACUGCUCUUGUUUCUAGGGUAGUGGUUGUUUUUAUCUUUAAUCUCAUUGGUACUUAAGAUGCCUUAGCCUGGCUCUGUCAUUCCAUCAAUACCCUGGACACAAUA
Molecule: long non-coding RNA, 2731 nt
Organism: Eubalaena glacialis (North Atlantic right whale)
Lineage: Eukaryota; Metazoa; Chordata; Mammalia; Artiodactyla; Balaenidae
Exons: 8
Source: RefSeq, a predicted model, not a curated record